CUGAAUUAUUCCCUUACCCAUGAUAUAUUCCUAUUAAUAACAUUUUGCUCUGACUAACAAACAGCUUUAUUUCAUUUCCAGGAUUUUUGGCAUUCCUACAGUUUCUAAAAAUACGAACUGAAACACUCACUCCUGGAGCGGUCAAAAAUAUUGCUACUUCAAUACAAUAUUGCAGCAAAGAGACCUGGUGCAAGGAAGUCUAUUGCCACUUUCAUAGAAAAAUCAACAGAAAAGGAAGCGACACUGCUGGAUGGAGGAAAUCAGCAAAGAGAGCAGUGAGUAUGCUCAUUAAUAGGGUCUAAACCAAAUUUUACAUGCGGGGUCAAUGGUGGGCAUAUUGACUUAAUUCGUGUUGUUUGCUCAGUACUGAUUUCACAGAGGAAAGCAAGUCCAGUUUGAGGUCAAAGCCACCGACAACAGCUCUGUUACCUGAAGGGAGCAAAACUUUCUGUGAGGGGGCAAAGCCUGUGCAGGUGAAAGACAAAACUUCCUUGAAGAGAAUCUGAGAUGGCGAAAAUGCCUAAAGUCUAUAAGGUCUACAAUAAAUAUCAACACUUUGAGCUUCA
This is a long non-coding RNA of Struthio camelus australis, 566 nucleotides long. The record is from Ensembl. NCBI's taxonomy places the organism in Eukaryota, Metazoa, Chordata, Aves, Struthioniformes, Struthionidae.